This 218-nucleotide unclassified non-coding RNA is filed under the name Hevea brasiliensis (rubber tree). Lineage: Eukaryota; Viridiplantae; Streptophyta; Magnoliopsida; Malpighiales; Euphorbiaceae. The record is from RNAcentral.
GGUGUUUCAAAUAACAAGUUUUUUUUUGUGACAAGGUACUGUCCACUCUUAUUAAUCCUGUGAUUUUUUUCCUUUCCUGUGAAAAUGGUUUAUAAAGUUAGCAAUUUUGUCUGUAUGUGAUGUUUUGUAGGGUGUGCAAACGGUUGGUUCGGUUUCGAACCAAACAGAACCGAUAAAACCGAAAACCAAAAAUAAAAAAAUUUUAAAAACUGAACCAA